AUUCCAGCUCCAAUAGCGUAUAUUAAAGUUGUUGCGGUUAAAAAGCUCGUAGUUGGAUUUCUGCCGAGGACGACCGGUCCGCCCACUGGGUGUGCAUCUGGCUCGGCCUGGGCAUCUUCUUGGAGAACGUAUCUGCACUUCACUGUGUGGUGCGGUAUCCAGGACUUUUACUUUGAGGAAAUUAGAGUGUUUCAAGCAGGCACACGCCUUGAAUACGUUAGCAUGGAAUAAUAAGAUAGGACCUUGGUUCUAUUUUGUUGGUUUCUGGAACUGAGGUAAUGAUUAAUAGGGACAGUUGGGGGCAUUCAUACUCCAUUGUCAGAGGUGAAAUUCUUGGAUUAACGGAAGAUGAACUUCUGCGAAAGCAUCUGCCAAGGAUGUUUUCAUCA
RNAcentral lists this ribosomal RNA (389 nucleotides) under Thoracosphaeraceae sp. Its description in RNAcentral is "partial small subunit ribosomal RNA". It matches the Rfam family "Eukaryotic small subunit ribosomal RNA", at positions 582 to 975 of the family's 1831-position model. The record is from RNAcentral. Lineage: Eukaryota; Dinophyceae; Thoracosphaerales; Thoracosphaeraceae.